CACAGCUGACAGGUGGUGUAGGUCCACACCCCGGAUCUGAACCCCCAAAUUUUCUUUUAAAAAUGUUUUCUCUCUUUAUUUGCAAUAUUAGUUUAACAUCCAGUUUCUUGAUUCUUUAUCUUUUCAUUUACCGAGCCUGUCCACUUUUUCUGGUGAAUCAUUGCAACCCUUUUAACCCCCUUUGAGACCGUGUGUUUAUUAUAAUUAAGGUAGAUAUACUUGGGAAAGUUUUCGUCUAAGAAUAAGGGAAUUUUUGAAGAACGGAUUGGAGGAGGAAGAAAAGGCUGAUAAUAAUGAUGCUGUUCAGACAUGAAAUUAGCCCACCAUCAGUGUGUCAAGCACUUGUCAUUGUUUUCCCAGCAGUGGGGAGGUGUAGGCUCAUCCUCUCCCUUGCCCUGCACCCGUAGAAGGGGCUGGCCAGGCUUUGGGUUGUGCCUGGGGCCUUAGACUGACGUCAUUCAUCCCAGCAAACUGUGCUGGCCAAUGCCAGAGGAACCCAGCUUGGCCCGCGGUCACUGGGGAAGGCGAUGGGCAGAGUGAGCGACAGGAAAGAAUCGGAGCAGCUGUUAAGUUCUAGACAGCCCCAGAAACUGUCUCUGUCCUCCAGAAAUGUAAAUAACUGCCAACAUUUAUUAAGCAUUCCUUUGGUGCCACCACUUUGCUCAACACUUAAUAGAUUAUCUCAUUGCAGGCCCUCAACAGCCCCCUGUGGUGGCUGCUUAGAACCUCCGUAUAUGCCGAUAAGGCCCAGAGAGGUUGAGUUACUUAGCCAAGGAAACACAGGUGGCAAAAUGCAGAUUCUAAUCUAAAUCAGCCUGUGUCCAAGCCUGAAUGCCUAACUACUGCUGUCUGUUUGUAGACUACAGCCAUCUCAUCCAGGCAGAUAUGAAAAGUGAAUCAAAUCCAGGGAACAUUCAGUAGAUGCCAUGAGAUGGCACAAGAAGGUUGGAGACGAAGCAGAAAAUUUUUUAUAGAGGUGGUAGCAUUGCAAUGGAUGUUAAAGGAUGGAUGGAAUUUUAAAAAAUAAAAUAACAUGGAGGGCUGGCCAAGUGGCCUGGUGGUCAAGUUCAGUGUGCCCUGCUUCAGUGGCCUGGUUUGGUUCUCAGGCACAGACCUAUACCACUGGCAGCGGCCAUGCUGUGGCAGCAACCCACAUACAAAAUAGAGUAAGAUGGGCACAGAUGUUAGCUCAGGGCAAAUCUUUCUCAGCAAAAAAAGAAAAGAAAAGAACAUAAAUAUGGUUUUCAAAAGGGGGCUCUCUUAGCCUUCUAACACCUCUAAUCGAGGGCAUCCUUCCAGAAAAAAAAAAAGAAAGAUUAUUCCUAUACUGAGUAUAUUUCCAUCCUUUAAAAAUAUAUAACAAACCAGUGUGACCUCAAUUAAAAAAAACUCAUAAAACACAAAAUAAAAUAAGUAGAUAGAAAUGAGAUGAUACUAUGCAUGUUCUUCUAAUAAAUCCCAUAACAAUGGAUGUUAGGUUUCUUGUAUUUUUCCUGCAUUGUUGUUUGGCAUAUUUUUAUGAGUAUGUUUUUAAAGCAAAUUCUUAGCAGCAAAAUGAUCACAUCAAAGGAUCGGUUCACCUAAAAUUGUGAUCCACAUGACCAACUGGCCCUCCAGAAAGAUUGUACCGCUGUACACACAGGCUAUGAAAAUGCCUGUUUCCUCCACACCUGCCCAGUUUCCGUGAAAAGUAGCCGUUUUUUUGUAGCAGUUCUGAUAGGCACAUUCUGAACAAAGUUGGGCAUCUUUUUAUUAGUCAUUUACAUUUAUGUUUCUGCAGACAACAUUCAUGUUGUUUGCAUUUUCACAAUUAGGUCCUUGGCUGUUUUUCCUUAUUCUCUUGUGUGAAUACACUGUAACAAGUGAAAGAAAUUCACCUUUCCUUACGUGUAUUACAAAUAUAUCCCCGGUUUGCCUUUUGACUGUGACAUUUCUUUGUGUUGCUGUUAUAUUCAAGUUCCGUUUUUACGUGGUCAAAGUUACCUGUGUUUUUCUUUAUGUCCUCGGUGUUAUAGAUGGUCGGAAAAGCCUCCCCCACACCAUGAUAGAGACAGAUCCACAGAUGUAGCGAUAGAUGUGUGCGUAUACAUACACACGCGUGUUCUCCCCACAACAAGAUUUCUAGCUGUCUCUCUCUGCCGUCUCCCGUGCUGCUCGGGCGGCCUGGGCUUUCCGUUGCACGGUCCCUUUAGGCUGGCCCUCGGGCCGCCAGGUGGGCCGGAUGCGUCACCUGGGGCAUCCUUUCCCGCUGCCCCGCUCUGGGGCCGCCUCCCGGGACUCGCCGGGCGCGGGCUCGGGGCGCCGCCGGCAGAGCCCGCGAGCUCGUCACUUCCCUUGCAUCCCCGGGCCACGGUUCCCAGGCGGGGCGGAAGUCCUCCUCCGCCCUGCACCGGAGCCGGCCCUUCCCGCAGGCUCUCGUCCCGGCUUAUCCGGGUCAUCGGUGGCCCGGGGCCCGCCGGCGCGGAGCGUCCCUGGAAAGCUCCGAGGCACGUGGCGAAGGAGUGUUGUGAAGCGCUUAGGUGCUGGGUGCGGAGGUGGGAGAAAGGGCCGACGACGCUCCACACCCCGCUGCAGGCUCGGCCGCUCCCAGCCGGCGGGGAAAUCCCCGUCUAGUUGCAGGUCCUUCUAGUUGUGGGAUGUGGGAUGCUGCCUCAACGUGGCCUGAUGAGCGGUGCCAUGUCCGCGCCCAGGAUCCGAACCCCGGACCGCAGCAGCGGAGCGCGCAAACGUAACCACUCGGCCACGGAGCUGGCCCCAGAGAAUGUUUUAUCUUAUAGUUGGAAAAAAUGGUCCUGUGUGCCUCUUUUUGGACCUGAGAAAACGAAAUGGACAAAACUUCUUCAUGACGAACAUCUGGACCCUUACCCACGGUGUUCUAGGCACCACAGAGCCUUCCAGUGGGUAACCGACAAACCGAACGGCUCCCUCCACGUGGCGGCCCAUCCUCCAAGCUCAAACUCUGGCAAAAAAGCAAGCAGUGCCUGCAUAAACCUAGUGAAUAAAUCACCCAGAUUUUUUUUCAAA
Molecule: long non-coding RNA, 3024 nt
Organism: Equus caballus (horse)
Lineage: Eukaryota; Metazoa; Chordata; Mammalia; Perissodactyla; Equidae
Source: RefSeq, a predicted model, not a curated record